AUCAUUACUGAGUUACCGCUCUAUAACCCUUUGUGAACAUACCUAACCGUUGCUUCGGCGGGCAGGGGAAGCCUCUCGCGGGCCUCCCCUCCCGGCGCCGGCCCCACCACGGGGACGGGGCGCCCGCCGGAGGAAACCAAACUCUAUUUACACGACGUCUCUUCUGAGUGGCACAAGCAAAUAAUUAAAACUUUUAACAACGGAUCUCUUGGUUCUGGCAUCGAUGAAGAACGCAGCGAAAUGCGAUAAGUAAUGUGAAUUGCAGAAUUCAGUGAAUCAUCGAAUCUUUGAACGCACAUUGCGCUCGCCAGCAUUCUGGCGAGCAUGCCUGUUCGAGCGUCAUUUCAACCCUCAAGCACCGCUUGGUUUUGGGGCCCCACGGCACACGUGGGCCCUUAAAGGUAGUGGCGGACCCUCCCGGAGCCUCCUUUGCGUAGUAACUAACGUCUCGCACUGGGAUCCGGAGGGACUCUUGCCGUAAAACCCCCCAAUUUUUUACAGGUUGACCUCGGAUCAGGUAGGAAUACCCGCUGAACUUAAGCAUAUCAAUAAGCGGAGGAAAAAC
This 565-nucleotide ribosomal RNA is filed under the name Colletotrichum simmondsii. RNAcentral's name for it is "eukaryotic LSU rRNA". The stretch from base 189 to 342 matches the Rfam family "5.8S ribosomal RNA". Lineage: Eukaryota; Fungi; Ascomycota; Sordariomycetes; Glomerellales; Glomerellaceae. The record is from RNAcentral.